CAAAAAGUCCGUUAGCAUCAGAGGCUAACAAUUAGAGGAGCGUCAGAAAAAAAGAUCUAAAACAGGGGAAGUUACAAGAAAAUUUGUAAUGGGAGCUGCUGACAGAGAUGCAGGAAACAGAGCUGGAGUGGAACGGAUCUCCUGUCGAAGGAAGUUCGUGAAGACCGAUUACCUGGACAGAAGUCAGUUCAAGAUCCAGCCUCCACACCAGACUUCUCACUCACAAGGAUUGCUGUCUACUAGAUAUUAUGUGUACUCUUCAGACCUGGGUUCAUACAGAUAUUAUUCAGGGACAUGAACACUUGAAUAUUGCAAAAAUAG
Onychostoma macrolepis is the source of this 321-nucleotide long non-coding RNA. RefSeq lists it as uncharacterized. NCBI's taxonomy places the organism in Eukaryota, Metazoa, Chordata, Actinopteri, Cypriniformes, Cyprinidae. The record is from RefSeq and is a predicted model, not a curated record. The transcript is spliced from 4 exons.